This 20-nucleotide microRNA is filed under the name Caenorhabditis elegans. RNAcentral describes it as "cel-miR-265". Its record names the gene cel-miR-265. The record is from miRBase by way of RNAcentral. Lineage: Eukaryota; Metazoa; Nematoda; Chromadorea; Rhabditida; Rhabditidae.
UGAGGGAGGAAGGGUGGUAU